GCGCUCGCGCGCCGCAUCGCACCCUUUGGGUGCUGGCGCUCCGCGAGGGCGCGGCACGAGCCGCGACGGCCGCCGGUUUUAGUUAGAUUUGGCGGCCUUGCGAGGCUCUGCCUCGAAGCUGGCUACCAUCUGCGCUUGGGGCUUAGGGCUUGUAGCUCAGUUGGUUAGAGCGCGCGCUUGAUAAGCGUGAGGUCGGAGGUUCAAGUCCUCCCAGGCCCACCAUUCCUCGACAACUUCGAAGAGGUAUUAUUCAGGGGCCGUAGCUCAGCUGGGAGAGCGCCUGCUUUGCAAGCAGGAUGUCGUCGGUUCGAUCCCGUCCGGCUCCACCAUCGCCGCGCAAUCCGCAGGAUUGUCGCCGCGCAAUCCGCAGGAAUGGCCCUUCCUCCGAAGAAAAAAGGGUGGCCAAGGGAUAAACUGGGGAAAAAAAAUCCUUUUUCCAGAAUUUGGCGGCAAGCUUUGGCUCCUCGGCUGGUCCGGCUGAACUCCUAAAGAAAAAAAUUGGUCCAACUUUCUACCCGGCAGGGGUGGUGAUUGGUCGCGGGAGAACGCUCAAUCUUCCCGCAUAUGAUGGGGUUUGCCUAACCGCCCCUCGAACCGAUCUCGAGAAGCUGGUCUUUUUGUGCCAAU
Molecule: transfer RNA, 627 nt
Filed under: Mesorhizobium temperatum
Lineage: Bacteria; Pseudomonadati; Pseudomonadota; Alphaproteobacteria; Hyphomicrobiales; Phyllobacteriaceae
Description: partial 16S-23S ribosomal RNA intergenic spacer
Rfam family: tRNA (bases 146-219)
Source: RNAcentral